CAGUAGCCACGGUAAUACGAAGGGUGCAAGCGUUAAUCGGAAUUACUGGGCGUAAAGCGUGCGUAGGCGGUUUGUUAAGUCUGCUGUGAAAUCCCCGGGCUCAACCUGGGAAUGGCAGUGGAUACUGGCAAGCUAGAGUGUGUCAGAGGAUGGUGGAAUUCCCGGUGUAGCGGUGAAAUGCGUAGAGAUCGGGAGGAACAUCAGUGGCGAAGGCGGCCAUCUGGGACAACACUGACGCUGAGGCACGAAAGCGUGGGGAGCAAACAGGAUUAGAUACCCCUGUAGUCCCUGUCUCUUAUAC
Molecule: ribosomal RNA, 301 nt
Filed under: uncultured bacterium
Lineage: Bacteria
Description: partial 16S ribosomal RNA
Rfam family: Bacterial small subunit ribosomal RNA
Source: RNAcentral